RNAcentral lists this ribosomal RNA (97 nucleotides) under Acanthosepion pharaonis. The record is from RNAcentral. Lineage: Eukaryota; Metazoa; Mollusca; Cephalopoda; Sepiida; Sepiidae.
GUUGAAACACCAGUUCCCGUACGAUCAUCGAAGUUAAGCAACGUCGAGCCUGAUCAGUACCUAGAUGGGUGACCGCUUGGGGAAUACCAGGUACAGU